UAGUAAUAGUUAUGUUCUUGAAAAUUAAAAAAAUUGGCGGUAUUUUAGUCUAUUUAGAGGAACCUGUCCUAUAAUCGAUAAUCCACGAUUUGAUUUACUUAUUAUUUGAGUUUGCAUAUCGCCGUAGGUUGAAUAUUUUUAUAGAAUAAGUAAUGUUCAAUAAGUUUAUAAGAAAAAAAUUCAGGUCAAGAUGUAGCGUAUUAAUAAGAAGAGAUGGGUUACAAUGAAUAAAUUUAUAAUGGAUUAAUAAAUUUAAUUUUAUGAUGAAGGUGGAUUUAAAAGUAAU
RNAcentral lists this ribosomal RNA (286 nucleotides) under Rhyncogonus angustus. RNAcentral describes it as "partial 12S ribosomal RNA". The record is from RNAcentral. Lineage: Eukaryota; Metazoa; Arthropoda; Insecta; Coleoptera; Curculionidae.